This 253-nucleotide ribosomal RNA is filed under the name uncultured bacterium. RNAcentral describes it as "partial 16S ribosomal RNA". It matches the Rfam family "Bacterial small subunit ribosomal RNA", at positions 524 to 776 of the family's 1533-position model. The record is from RNAcentral.
UACGUAGGUGGCAAGCGUUGUCCGGAUUUACUGGGCGUAAAGAGCGCGCAGGCGGUCGUUCAAGUCGCGUGUGAAAGCCCCCGGCUCAACUGGGGAGGGUCACGCGAUACUGGUCGACUCGAAGGCAGGAGAGGGUAGUGGAAUUCCCAGUGUAGUGGUGAAAUACGUAGAGAUUGGGAAGAACACCAGUGGCGAAGGCGGCUAUCUGGACGGUUUCUGACGCUAAGACGCGAAAGCGUGGGGAGCAAACAGG